UGUAAGACAAAACCAGUGUUUCGUUUAAUACCAUUUUUAAUUUUUUACUAUUCUGCUGUUGUGCAUGAUGAUCACGAAGGCAAUGGUCAUAAGUGGUGAGCUUGAUUCUCUUAAAAUAGCUGACAGUAGCAUUUCCAUAUAUAAUGCAAGCUAGACUCCUCAUGAGAAGGUGCUGCAAUGGAGAAGGGACAUGCAGCGUGUGCUUUCCGUUUAUGUGAAAACUGAAAUAGUGUUUGAUCA
Molecule: long non-coding RNA, 240 nt
Filed under: Setaria viridis
Lineage: Eukaryota; Viridiplantae; Streptophyta; Magnoliopsida; Poales; Poaceae
Description: long non-coding RNA (SVIR_LNC001175)
Source: RNAcentral